GCAGGGGUAGCCGAGCCUGGCCAAAGGCGCGGGACUUAAGAUCCCGUCUCUUAGGGGUCCGUGGGUUCAAAUCCCACCCCCUGCA
Molecule: transfer RNA, 85 nt
Filed under: Nitrososphaerota archaeon
Lineage: Archaea; Thermoproteati; Nitrososphaerota
Also listed under: 1 other name
Description: Thaumarchaeota archaeon tRNA-Leu
Rfam family: tRNA
About the family: Transfer RNA (tRNA) molecules are approximately 80 nucleotides in length. Their secondary structure includes four short double-helical elements and three loops (D, anti-codon, and T loops).
Source: RNAcentral